GCUUUAACUUCUAUUGUCUUAAACUUUUGUCCUGAGUUGAAAUGCAGUCAUCUGUGUCCAAAGAGGAAAUUACAUUAAGAAGCAUCUGUCCAGAGGCCAAUGCAACGGAUGGGCAAUGGGUACAACUCCUACAUGAAGAGUGGCAGAAGCCUUACAAUCCAGCAAGGAUUAUUAAUAGAUGAUUCAAAGGAGAUACAAAAAAAUCUAUUUGAUCACCACAAGUACAUUUCAGAAUUGGGUUUCCAGCUCAAAACAAGGAGCAAUGGUGUCCUGUUAUUGUGCAGCUCAUCACUGAUGACUAAAUGGCAAGUUACUGAAAAUAGCCAUCAUUGUACUCCCUUUACAGCAAGCCUUUGCUUUGAAUGUCAUCUAACAUUCCUA
Passer domesticus (house sparrow) is the source of this 381-nucleotide long non-coding RNA. RefSeq lists it as uncharacterized. NCBI's taxonomy places the organism in Eukaryota, Metazoa, Chordata, Aves, Passeriformes, Passeridae. The transcript is spliced from 3 exons. The record is from RefSeq and is a predicted model, not a curated record.